CACCGCGGUUAUACGAAAGACCCUAGUUGAUAGCCACGGCGUAAGGGGUGGUUAAGGAAAUUUCUAAAUAAAGUUAAAGGGCUUCCAAGCCGUCGCACGCACCCUGAAAGCUCGAAAUCCAAGCACGAAAGUAACUUUAAAGCUUAAUUUUACCUGACCCCACGAAAGCUAAGAAA
This 176-nucleotide ribosomal RNA is filed under the name Rhamdia cf. jequitinhonha NS 3056A. RNAcentral describes it as "partial small subunit ribosomal RNA". Lineage: Eukaryota; Metazoa; Chordata; Actinopteri; Siluriformes; Pimelodidae. The record is from RNAcentral.